GACGAACGCUGGCGGCGUGCCUAAUACAUGCAAGUAGAACGCUGAAGGAGGAGCUUGCUUCUCUGGAUGAGUUGCGAACGGGUGAGUAACGCGUAGGUAACCUGCCUGGUAGCGGGGGAUAACUAUUGGAAACGAUAGCUAAUACCGCAUAAUAGUAGAUGUUGCAUGACAUUUGCUUAAAAGGUGCAAUUGCAUCACUACCAGAUGGACCUGCGUUGUAUUAGCUAGUUGGUGAGGUAACGGCUCACCAAGGCGACGAUACAUAGCCGACCUGAGAGGGUGAUCGGCCACACUGGGACUGAGACACGGCCCAGACUCCUACGGGAGGCAGCAGUAGGGAAUCUUCGGCAAUGGACGGAAGUCUGACCGAGCAACGCCGCGUGAGUGAAGAAGGUUUUCGGAUCGUAAAGCUCUGUUGUAAGAGAAGAACUAGUGUGAGAGUGGAAAGUUCACACUGUGACGGUAUCUUACCAGAAAGGGACGGCUAACUACGUG
Molecule: ribosomal RNA, 495 nt
Filed under: uncultured bacterium
Lineage: Bacteria
Description: partial 16S ribosomal RNA
Rfam family: Bacterial small subunit ribosomal RNA
Source: RNAcentral